UGAAGGUUGCGCAGCUUUGACAGAAAACGACCCCACCCACCCCGAUUCCAUCGUCUCCGACGACCCCUGCGCGUAGAAACGACCCCUAGGAUCAUCUUCUUCAAGCAGUCAUUUCCAUGGUUGAUUCCUAACCAUGAAACGACCCCUAGGAUCAUCUUCUUCAAGAAGCCAUUUCCAUGGUUGAUUCCUAACCAAGCCAACGAUCUCUUUCUCCUUCAGCACAACCAGCAACAACUCCCCAAAAUCCAGCUCGAAAACCACCCCUUUCUCAUCCCAAAACAGUUCUAGAAACUCAGCAAAUCAUCCCCGAAAAUCAUCCAUAAACCAGCUAAAAUGCAACAACAACAUCUGCGAGAAACCAGCUGAAAGUUCAAUGAAACGCGAGCUGAAAACCUAGUCCGAAAAUCUCAGAAAAGAUGUCCCAGAAUCAGCACCAAAGAUCCAAAAAAACACCGUAAAAACCAGCACCAAACCACUCCGAAAUAGCAGCUCUUUCUACCCCGAAGUUCGAGUUCUUUUUCCGGCAUGUUCGAAGUCAUUCGAGGCUCUCGCUCACAGCUCCGAUCCGUCGAUCUUGACAUUGAAGUUUGGUUUCAAGUGUCUGUUGUUUGUUUGACUUGGGGAAAUGCCGAUGUAAUAUUUAAAGCAAAAAUUCGACAAUAUAAAAGGUCCAUUCUCUCACUCAUCUCUUUUAUUAGUUGUGUUUGAUUAAUUAUGAUUUUAAGAUUGAUUUUAGCUCUUUCUGUUAUGUUACUUUUAUGAUUUGUUUAGGUACAUGAUACAACACAGUGUGUAUAUAUGCCUACGUGAUCAUGAUUUUGUUCGAGUGAUCAUGAUUUUUUUAUUUAAAAAGUUCUCACUAUUAGAUCCCAAGUUGCUAAGUAGGAAUUGGAAUUGGUUGCUUGUUUGGAAAUUUAUUCCCACCGUUGAAUCUGUGAAAGCACUUGACAUAUGAUUCAACACUUGGUUCAUUUAAUUAAUAUUGGUAAGCUACCUCAGUAACAUAAAAGAGCUUUUGCUUUUGAAUUUGGAUGCUUGGCAUAUUUCUAUGGUAAAAAUG
This 1060-nucleotide long non-coding RNA is filed under the name Nicotiana tabacum (common tobacco). RNAcentral describes it as "long non-coding RNA (NTAB_LNC009744)". The record is from RNAcentral. Lineage: Eukaryota; Viridiplantae; Streptophyta; Magnoliopsida; Solanales; Solanaceae.